AUAAUAAAAAACCAAAAAUGAAAUAAAAGCCUCAAGGAAAAAAGCGUUAACAAAAAACAAAGUUUAAUUGUUAAACGUCUAGUAAGAGCAACAAUUAAAAUGAAACUAACAACAAAAGCAUUAGAGCAAAAAAUUAAAACAGCAAAUAUUGAAAAUUGCUAAGAUUUUUUUGUGGCAACAGAGAGAAAAUCGCAGCUAGACAAACGUUUGCCUAGCACACUUGCCAAAUAAAGUGGAUGUGGAACUUUAAGAGUGUGUGGCAAUAAUCCUGUUUGCAACAAUAGACUGCCACAAAAACCGCUUAUAACAACACGCUUUAUUUGCUUACGUUCUUCCAUGAACAUGGCGCUGUUCCCUGAAGAACAGGGAAGAAAAACAAAUGUCUUAAAUUAACUCUUUGGAAAAUAAGUGAAGUGAAAAUCGAAAACUGAAAUUUCCUCUUAAGGCACAAAAGGAUAUAAAGACUUAAAAUAAUUACCAACAAAAACAAAUGAAUGAACACAAUAAUUGCAAAUAAAAUAUAACAAAUUUUCACAGGAUAUAAAAGAAUAGUCCAUAGUAGCAGCAGUGUUAGUAGCUGCCAGGAAAUCUCUUUUUGCCAUGUUUUUAGUGUCAUUAAAUAAAAUCCAUCAUCUAAAUUACUAUUAUGGCCUUAAGGAUUUUGUUUCCUUUUAACAUUAUCUUCCCACUUGGUUGUCAUCACUUAAGAUUUAUCUACAAAUUUCCAAAUGUCAAUAAUAUAACGGAAAUUGUGAGUACUCAAAGUGUAACAUUUAAGGGUGCUAGACAGAUUGAAGCAGAUUUGUAAAACAUCUUAAAAUAAAAUGGAUAAUGGAAAUGCCAAGAUCGAUUGACAA
RNA transcript from Lucilia cuprina (Australian sheep blowfly), 857 nucleotides. RefSeq lists it as uncharacterized. The transcript has 8 exons. The record is from RefSeq and is a predicted model, not a curated record. NCBI's taxonomy places the organism in Eukaryota, Metazoa, Arthropoda, Insecta, Diptera, Calliphoridae.